GCGGUCGAUCGUUUCCCUCAGGAUAUUUUUGGUAAGCAGAACUACCCUGUUGAGCUUGACUCUAGUUUGACAUUGUGAAGAGACAUAGAGGGUGUAGAAUAAGUGGGAGCUUCGGCGCCAGUGAAAUACCACUACCUUUAUAGUUUCUUUACUAUUGUCAGGUGGGGAGUAAAGUUACCACAGGGAUAAUUGUGGCAGUCUUGCUGACCGUCGUGAGACAGGUUAG
This 226-nucleotide ribosomal RNA is filed under the name Saccharomyces cerevisiae BY4741. RNAcentral's name for it is "25S ribosomal RNA from Saccharomyces cerevisiae BY4741 (PDB 7R7C, chain 1)". The stretch from base 44 to 226 matches the Rfam family "Eukaryotic large subunit ribosomal RNA", at positions 2410 to 2588 of the family's 3401-position model. The record is from RNAcentral. Lineage: Eukaryota; Fungi; Ascomycota; Saccharomycetes; Saccharomycetales; Saccharomycetaceae.